This 68-nucleotide ribosomal RNA is filed under the name Parasarpa dudu bocki. RNAcentral's name for it is "partial 5.8S ribosomal RNA". The record is from RNAcentral. Lineage: Eukaryota; Metazoa; Arthropoda; Insecta; Lepidoptera; Nymphalidae.
CAUCGRCAUUUCGAAMGCACAUUGCGGUCCGUGGAGAAACAUCCAGGRCCACUCCUGUCCGAGGGCCG